Molecule: unclassified non-coding RNA, 258 nt
Filed under: uncultured fungus
Lineage: Eukaryota; Fungi
Description: sequence contains ITS1, 5.8S rRNA gene
Rfam family: 5.8S ribosomal RNA (bases 210-258)
Source: RNAcentral
UCUCCGUUGGUGAACCAGCGGAGGGAUCAUUAUAGAGUUUUCUAAACUCCCAACCCAUGUGAACUUACCUUUUGUUGCCUCGGCGCAGGCUGGGAGCUUCUGUAAACUCCCCCCCGCGGACUCACCUCUGCGCGGAGCAGGCCCGCCGGCGGCCCCACCAAACUCUUGUUUUUAGUGUCUCUUCUGAGUUAAACAAACAAAUGAAUCAAAACUUUCAACAACGGAUCUCUUGGUUCUGGCAUCGAUGAAGAACGCAGC